GCUUUCCUCUGCCCGAAUGCUUAACACAUGCAAGUCUACUUGAACUUCGGUUUGGGUGGCGGACGGGUGAGUAACGCGUAAAGAACUUGCCUCACAGUUAGGGACAACAUUUGGAAACGAAUGCUAAUACCUGAUAUUAUGAUUUUAGGGCAUCCUAGGAUUAUGAAAGCUAUAUGUGCUGUGAGAGAGCUUUGCGUCCCAUUAGCUAGUUGGAGAGGUAACGGCUCACCAAGGCGAUGAUGGGUAGCCGGCCUGAGAGGGUGAACGGCCACAAGGGGACUGAGACACGGCCCUUACUCCUACGGGAGGCAGCAGUGGGGAAUAUUGGACAAUGGACCAAAAGUCUGAUCCAGCAAUUCUGUGUGCACGAUGACGUUUUUCGGAAUGUAAAGUGCUUUCAGUUGGGAAGAAAAAAAUGACGGUACCAACAGAAGAAGUGACGGCUAAAUACGUG
This 454-nucleotide ribosomal RNA is filed under the name uncultured bacterium. Its description in RNAcentral is "partial 16S ribosomal RNA". It matches the Rfam family "Bacterial small subunit ribosomal RNA", at positions 36 to 507 of the family's 1533-position model. The record is from RNAcentral.